UUACCAAACCUAAUAAAACUCCGAAUGCUAGACAUUGUUCUUCAACAGACAGACUGUGGGUGCUAAGGUCCAUGGUCGAGAGGGAAAGAGCCCAGACCACCAGAUAAGGUCCCAAAAUUAUGAUUAAGUGUGAAAGGAUGUGGAAAUUCCUUAACAGCCGGGAGGUUGGCUUAGAAGCAGCCAUCCUUUAAAGAUAGCGUAACAGCUCACCGGUCUAAUAGAGUUUCUGCGCCGAAGAUGUAACGGGGCUAAAAUCAUAUACCGAAUCUGUGGGUUUAUAAAACUUUCGAGUUUUAUAAGCGGUAGCGGAACGUUCUGUAAGCCUGUGAAGGAGUACCCGUGAGGGACUCUGGAGGUAUCAGAAGUGCGAAUGCUGACAUAAGUAACGAUAAAAGAAGUGAAAAACUUCUUCGCCGAAAAUCCAAGGGUUUCUGCGCAAGGUUAAUCCGCGCAGAGUUAGUCGGCACCUAAGGCGAGGGCGAAAGCCGUAGUCGAUGGAAAUAAGGUUAAUAUUCCUUAACCAGAUGGUAGUGACGGAUCUUGUAAGUUGUGUACUCUUAAUGGAUUGAGUAUGCCGCGAAAAGGUUCCAAGAAAUAGCUCCAUCAUUAGACCGUACCCUAAACCGACACAGGUGGAUUAAUAGAGUAUAUUUAGGCGCUUGAGAGAAUGAUGUUGAAGGAACUCGGCAAAAUGCUUCCGUAACUUCGGGAUAAGGAAGACCCUCCUGUAGGCAACUAUGGAAGGGUGGCACAAGCCAGGGAGAAGCGACUGUUUAUCAAAAACACAGGGCUCUGCUAACACGUAAGUGGAUGUAUAGGGUCUGACGCCUGCCCGGUGCUGGAAGGUUAAUGCGGUUGGUGCAAGCUAACUUCUGAAGCCCCAGUAAACGGCGGCCGUAACUAUAACGGUCCUAAGGUAGCGAAAUUCCUUGUCGGGUAAGUUCCCGACCUGCAUGAAUGGCGUAACGAUUUCUCCGCUGUCUCACAUCACUCAGUGAAAUUGAAUUCUCCGUGAGAUGCGGAGUUCGCGUAGUUAGACGGAAAGACCCCGUGCACCUUUACUGCAACUUUACAUUGGUGUUAGGAAAAACAUAUUUAGCAUAGGAGGGAGACAUUGAAGCAAAGGCGUCAGCUUUUGUGGAGUCACCAGUGAAAUACCUCUUUUGUUUUUCUUGAUAUCUAACUGAUUGCCGUCAUCCGGCAUCAAGACAUUGUAUGGUGGGUAGUUUGACUGGGGCGGUCGCCUCCCAAAUAGUAACGGAGGCGUGCGAAGGUAGGCUCAG
RNAcentral lists this ribosomal RNA (1283 nucleotides) under marine metagenome. Its description in RNAcentral is "bacterial LSU rRNA". It matches the Rfam family "Bacterial large subunit ribosomal RNA", at positions 936 to 2325 of the family's 2925-position model. The record is from RNAcentral.